This 69-nucleotide transfer RNA is filed under the name Marmota monax (woodchuck). RNAcentral describes it as "tRNA.Ala". The record is from RNAcentral. Lineage: Eukaryota; Metazoa; Chordata; Mammalia; Rodentia; Sciuridae.
GGGGCUGUAGCUCAGUGGCACAGUGCUUGCCUAGCAUGUGUGAGACUGAGUUCGAUCUUCAGCACCACA